This 974-nucleotide ribosomal RNA is filed under the name Phanocloidea lobulatipes. RNAcentral's name for it is "SSU rRNA". It matches the Rfam family "Eukaryotic small subunit ribosomal RNA", at positions 411 to 1325 of the family's 1831-position model. Lineage: Eukaryota; Metazoa; Arthropoda; Insecta; Phasmatodea; Diapheromeridae. The record is from RNAcentral.
CACAUCCAAGGAAGGCAGCAGGCGCGCAAAUUACCCACUCCCGGCACGGGGAGGUAGUGACGAAAAAUAACGAUACGGGACUCAUCCGAGGCCCCGUAAUCGGAAUGAGCACACUUUAAAGACUUUAACGAGUAUCCAUUGGAGGGCAAGUCUGGUGCCAGCAGCCGCGGUAAUUCCAGCUCCAAUAGCGUAUAUUAAAGUUGCUGCGGUUAAAAAGCUCGUAGUUGGACUUGUGUCCCGCGCUGUCGGUUCACCGUUCGUCGGUGUUUAACUGGCAUGCCGCGCGGACGUCCUGCUGGUGGACGCGGUCGGCCGCGGGCCUCUGGCUCGCGCGUCGACGGUCCGGUGCAAUCCUACCGCGGUGCUCUUUACCGAGUGUCGAGGUGGGCCAGCACGUUUACUUUGAACAAAUUAGAGUGCUUAAAGCAGGCUUGGAUUCGCCUGAAUACUGUGUGCAUGGAAUAAUGGAAUAGGACCUCGGUUCUAUUUCGUUGGUUUCCGGAACCCCGAGGUAAUGAUUAAUAGGGACAAACGGGGGCAUUCGUAUUGCGACGUUAGAGGUGAAAUUCUUGGAUCGUCGCAAGACGAACCUAAGCGAAAGCAUUUGCCAUGAGUGUUUUCAUUAAUCAAGAACGAAAGUUAGAGGUUCGAAGGCGAUCAGAUACCGCCCUAGUUCUAACCAUAAACGAUGCCAGCCAGCGAUCCGCCGACGUUCCUAAGAUGACUCGGCGGGCAGCUCACGGGAAACCAAAGCUUUUGGGUUCCGGGGGAAGUAUGGUUGCAAAGCUGAAACUUAAAGGAAUUGACGGAAGGGCACCACCAGGAGUGGAGCCUGCGGCUUAAUUUGACUCAACACGGGAAACCUCACCAGGCCCGGACACCGGAAGGAUUGACAGAUUUAGAGCUCUUUCUUGAUUCGGUGGGUGGUGGUGCAUGGCCGUUCUUAGUUGGUGGAGCGAUUUGUCUGGUUAUUC